GUCACUCGCUUAUAUUACUGUAGCUGUUAUUCUACUUUCCCACUACGAAUUCAUUUGCUUCGAAAAUUGAGAAAGUGAGAGAGAGAGAAAGAGAGAGACUGUAAUGAGGGAAGAGGUUAUCAGCUCCGGUGGUACUGUCGAUCCCACACCUGCUGCCAGUUCGGCUGGGGCAUCCUCCCCAACUGUUCCAAUGAAUGUUGGCAGCAUAGAUGGGUCAAAUCAUGGGCAAGGCUCUAAAGCUGCUUCUAUAUCAUGUGUUGGUUCGCAACCACCCUGGACUUCUGUGAGCACAAGCAUCGGUGGUUCUACUUUUGGUUCCUCAAGAUCUUCAUGUAGGCCCUGGGAAAGGGGAGAUUUAUUAAGGCGUUUGGCUACUUUUGCUCCUUUAAAUUGGCUUGGCAAGCCUCAGAUCAUCAGUUCAUUGGCUUGUGCUCAGAAAGGUUGGACAAAUAUUGGUGAGGAAAAAAUUGCGUGCGAGUCAUGUGGUGCCUGCCUGAAUUUCUCAUCAUUGUUAUCUUGGACAAGUGCCCAAGCUCAAGAUGCCAGUGAAUCCUUUGCCAGGAAGCUGGAUUCAGGGCAUAAAGCUCAUUGCCCUUGGAAAGGAAACAGCUGUCCAGAAAGUCUAGUGCAGUUCCCUCCGACUUCUCAAUCUGCCUUAAUUGGUGGCUACAAGGAUAGAUGUGAUGGACUCAUGCAAUUUCAUUAUCUUCCUGUGGUAGCAAUCUCUGCAAUUGAGUUGAUGAGUGUUACUCGAGGCCCACAGAUUGAGCGCUUUCUGUCACAGUCUCAAAACUUUAUGUCAGGAGUAGACUUUAAGCCUGAUAAUAUAUCAGAGCUGGAAAGCUCUCAGGAUGAGGCAUACUGCUCAUUUACACGUGCACAGAAGCUCAUAAGCCUUUGUGGGUGGGAACCAAGAUGGCUCUUAAAUGUUCAAGAUUGCGAAGAACACUCUGCUCAAUCUGAAAGAAAUGGAAAUUAUUUUGGUCCAAGCAAGACUCAACUACGUCCUACUCAAGAUCCAGGGCCAAAAGCAGUUUCUACUUCUACUAAAAUGGAUGCCAGGAAGGGAAAAGCAUCUCUUAAGGAGUCUAGACUUGACUAUAGGUCACCUAUGCUUGAUUGUAGCUUAUGUGGUGCUACAGUUAGAAUUUUGGAUUUUCUGACUGUUCCUCGCCCGAGUCGUCUUGUACCCAACAAUAUAGAUAACCCUGAUACCAGUAAAAAGAUAGGAUUAACUCGUGGAGGAAGUGCAGCUAGUGGCAUCAAUGGUUGGAUUGCAGCUGAUGAUGCAGAGAAAGAUCAGGCUGAAGAUCGUGAUGAGGUUGCAACAACAAAUGAGGGGAAAACGAUGGCAAGCACAGAUUUGGAUUUAAACCUUACUAUGGCUGGAGGUUUUCAUUGUCCCCCUUUUGGUAGGACAGCAACAUCUGAAAAUAUUCAUGAUGUAGACAUGGGAAGAGAUUUAAUGAUUGGUCAACCUUCAGGGAGUGAGAUUGGUGAUCGUGCAGCUUCAUAUGAAUCACGAGGGCCAAGUUCUCGUAAGAGAAAUCUUGAAAAAGGUGGAAGCUCAGAUAACAGGCCAGCUCUUAGGUUGCAGCAUCAGGCUGAUAGUGUUGAAGGAACUGUCAUCGACCGUGAUGGUGAUGAAGUUACUGAUGGUGGACAAUAUUCUGCCGGUCCUUCAAAACGUGCACGUGAAUCUGAUUUUUUUGACACUUAUUGUUCACCUCAUCAAAGAGAUUCAUCUGGCGCUGGUCCUAGCCAUUCAUUGGGUUUUGAGGGUUAUGUUGCUGGCAAUCGAGUUUCUUCGUUCCAUCAAGGUAGUGAUCGCUUAAUAGGAGUCCAAUCUACUAGAGACUCAAACCGUGCAUCAUCUGUCAUUGCAAUGGACACAAUAUAUCAUAGUAUAAAUGAUGAUUCUAUGGAAAGUGUUGAAAACUACCCAGGAGACCUUGAUGAUGUCCAUUUCCCCUCCUCUAGCACCUAUGGCAAUGUUGACAUGAAUGAAACAUCUGAGCUGAAUAACAGCAUUCAAGCUCAGCAAAGCACAUGUUUACAAACAGCAACCGAAGUUGUCCCUGGUGAAGUGGGAGUCAGCAGUACAAACUAUGGGGAUGGAAUUUUUAAUGCAGAAACUGUGACUGCUCAUGCUCGAGAUGGAAUUAGUCUUGGCAUUAGUGGAGGGAGUGUUGGAAUGUGUGCAAGUCAUGAAGCUGAAGUCCACGGGGCAGAUAUAUCUGUACACAGAACCCAUAGUGUUGUUGGUGAAAUGGAACACAGAGUAGAAGAUGCUGAAAACCAGGGACAGACUGGUGAAUCUGUUCCAAAUCCAGGUCUAAUGGAUGAGGUCAUCCCAGAUGAUAUAAACCGGGACUAUCCUGUUGGUGAUAGCCAGGAGAUGAUGUCUCACUCUGCAGGAAGGGCAGACAGUGGGUCAAAAAUUGGCUGUUCUGCAAAGGCAGAAUCUGUUGAAAGUGGUGAAAAGAUUAGUCAAAGCUGCAAACUUCCUCCUGCUAAUAACAGUCGUCCAUCCCAAUCUUGCAAUGCCAUUGUUUAUUCAGACUGUGGAAAUACUAAGGAGAUCAUGAAGGAUGGUAAAUCAUCAUUCAGCAAUAAUUGUGCUCUAGUUCAAUCAGAUUUUGCCACUGCAAACCGGAUAGGUCCUCCAAAAGGAGAAAGUAACUAUGAAGAAGCUGUAGAAUUUGAUCCUAUUGUCUAUCACAACCAGUGUUGCCCUUGGGUAAACGGCAACGUUGCUGCUGCUGGCUGUGCUAGUUCUGUUCCAAGCACUAGUAGUGAUAUCAUUGCACUCUGCGGAUGGCAGUUGACUUUAGAUGCUUUGCAAUCACUAGGGAAUGUAAUUCCGACAGUACAGUCUGAGUCUGCUGCAUCUUUGUACAAGAAUGAUCAGCAAGCACCUCGUAAAAAACUUCUACACAACCACUCCAUGAGCAAAAGUCAUGGUCAACCCUGAGAUUUUUGGUAUUUCCAUUUCCUUGUAAGUGGAUUAUUUUUGGUAUUUCCAUUUCCUUGAUUCUAGGUAUAUUUUUCCGAACUACAUAAGGUAUUUCUAGGCGUAUUUCAACUUCAACGCCACGGUGUUUAUAAGGUUGUAGCAGACAUGUUGCUUUGAUCCUUCUUCUGCAGAGCAUAGAGAUUUCUCUCCCAUAAAUCUAUAUAAAACGAGAGUUAUUAUCAAAUAACUAUUUGCGUCAUAGACUUGUAAAUACUGAAUGUCAUUGUUUUUAAUUAUAGAAUUUCGUUAGGCUGUUGACCAUUUUUUAAUUUAUGCGACAAAAAAUCACUGAAAGUUAUAUAUUUCCUUUCUUUAGAUAAAAAAAAGCUGUACAUUUUACCGCGGUCUAGGUUAAGAGGGCGUGAAUUUUCUUUGACUUAUUUACAAGUUAUUCUUUCUUACUGUUGUGAUUAAGAAAAAAACUAUGAUGCUAAA
Molecule: RNA transcript, 3451 nt
Organism: Lathyrus oleraceus (garden pea)
Lineage: Eukaryota; Viridiplantae; Streptophyta; Magnoliopsida; Fabales; Fabaceae
Exons: 8
Source: RefSeq, a predicted model, not a curated record